This is a long non-coding RNA of Magallana angulata, 932 nucleotides long. RefSeq lists it as uncharacterized. The transcript is spliced from 3 exons. The record is from RefSeq and is a predicted model, not a curated record. NCBI's taxonomy places the organism in Eukaryota, Metazoa, Mollusca, Bivalvia, Ostreida, Ostreidae.
ACACAUCGUUUUGAUAUGCUAAUGAAGGGAUAAUGAGUUAUGACGUCAUAAUAUACGCCCCGCCUCUGUAUUACCAUAUAUAGAACAUAUACCGAAAACAGCAGUUUAAGCAUAAAAUACGGCUUGUUUAAUACUCCAUAAGCAAAAUAUAACUACGAAUCACUCAUGUGUGUUUUUAUAAGUUUACAACAAUCAGAAUAUACGAAGAAUUUCCAUAACGCAUCUGUCGUAUGGGUGUGAAUCUGCGUCCCAAAAGCGCUCGUCAGACGAUGUAAACACGUGUAGCUGGUAUUCCCGAUGAUGGCGAUCUUUUGAUGAUUUAUCAGAGUAAUUUGAAAAGCGUCACACUGAUUUGAAAAAAAAAAGGCUGGAAGAAAAUCUGGUACCUGCUUUGUCUUGAGAUUUACAUAAAUGAUGUUCUUAUUGGUGAUCAUUUACCCGCACCCUUAUCCUGGUGUCAUAUACAAGAUGAAAUGAUGGAAAAAAAAACCUGAACUUUAGGAACAGGAAGACUGUGUUUUUGAAGAGAGAAGAGGACCAGAACUAGGAAGUCAUACAAUAAACACAUUAACAUCAUAAAAAGAAAUUCCAAUUUUGAGUUUGCAUGCAUAUGUCAGGUUAAAAUGUUGUCACAGAAUUUUUUUUCAGAAGGUCCCUUUAUCUUCUUGAAUUAAUAAAACAAAUGAACCAAAUAUAAUUGUUUCUAUAUAUAUAAUUUUGUUUGAGAAGUGGAAAGGGGAUGGUAUGUAAAUGGGCGGGAGAGAGAGUCUCUCACAUAGGAUAAUUCAGACUUAUUUAAAUUCAAUAUAUUGAUGUGAACCAAAAAUGGCUUUUGAUCGCCUUGUUGCAGGAUUUACACACUCUCUUUCCUUUCUCGGUAAUGAGAAAUGAGCGUUUAGAAUUUAUUUUGUGAAUGAAGAGAUAUGCUAACC